UCCAGAGUGGUGUAAUGGUAGCAUCCCUAGUUGACACAUGGUAGGAAGUGUAAUUCCCCAUGCCCUUCGGGGGCCAGGGGAUCCGGGUUCAAGUCUCGGCUCUGGAA
This is a non-coding RNA of Xylaria sp. FL0933, 107 nucleotides long. The record is from the annotation of a GenBank genome assembly. NCBI's taxonomy places the organism in Eukaryota, Fungi, Ascomycota, Sordariomycetes, Xylariales, Xylariaceae.